GGGGGUGUAGCUCAGAGGGAGAGCGGCUGCUCCGCAAGCAGCGGGCCGUCGGUUCGAGUCCGACCACUUCCACCA
This 75-nucleotide transfer RNA is filed under the name Burkholderia multivorans. RNAcentral's name for it is "tRNA-Ala". It matches the Rfam family "tRNA". From Rfam's summary of the family: Transfer RNA (tRNA) molecules are approximately 80 nucleotides in length. Their secondary structure includes four short double-helical elements and three loops (D, anti-codon, and T loops). Further hydrogen bonds mediate the characteristic L-shaped molecular structure. tRNAs have two regions of fundamental functional importance: the anti-codon, which is responsible for specific mRNA codon recognition, and the 3' end, to which the tRNAs corresponding amino acid is attached (by aminoacyl-tRNA synthetases). tRNAs cope with the degeneracy of the genetic code in two manners: having more than one tRNA (with a specific anti-codon) for a particular amino acid; and 'wobble' base-pairing, i.e. permitting non-standard base-pairing at the 3rd anti-codon position. Lineage: Bacteria; Pseudomonadati; Pseudomonadota; Betaproteobacteria; Burkholderiales; Burkholderiaceae. The record is from RNAcentral.